This 1220-nucleotide long non-coding RNA is filed under the name Gossypium barbadense (sea-island cotton). RNAcentral's name for it is "long non-coding RNA (GBAR_LNC017231)". The record is from RNAcentral. Lineage: Eukaryota; Viridiplantae; Streptophyta; Magnoliopsida; Malvales; Malvaceae.
UCUCCUUUUAUUUAUAAUAUGAUUGUAAUCGGCCCAAAUUACCCGGCCCAUAUAUAAAUAAAUAAAACCAAAUACCAAAUGAAAAUUCAAACUCCCAAAUAUAGUCCAAUUACAUUAAAAUUGCCAGCCCAAAUCCAAACCCGAUUACAAGCCCAAAUACACCAAGACCCAAUCUAAAACCCAAACCCAAUUACAAAGGCCCAAUACCUAGCCCUAGACCACGAAACAGAAACCCUAGAAGAUCCAACCGCCGCUCCUGCCCUCCGAGCAUGCUGCGCCUCCGCGCUAGUGCGUCCCCUCCGAGCUUGUACCUGCACAACAAAAAUGACAACAAGCAAGAAAAACAGAAAAUCACAAAUCAAAGGCAAAUAAUGCAUUUAAAGUUAGAUUUUUUUUACAUUUUCCUUUUUCCAUUAUCUACUAUAAAAAGCAAACUUGAUCGUAAAAAGAGGGGAUCGAAAGUUGACAAAAUGAAAAUUCGAAAGCAAUAAAAAUCACAGUUCUUUUUUUAAGGUGAUUGGAUUUUUUUCUCUUUUUUGUUUCUUCGAUUAUUUUGGUUGAUGCUUGUUUAUUGUUUAAGAAAAGAAACACACACAAAAAAGGGGACGAGGGUUUACCUUAUAUCGGUGCCAUCGAAUCCUCGUCGCUCCGUCGCAAUCGAAGUUUGAAUAGGGAUUUAGGGGCAUGAGAAUAGCGGUUGAGGCUAGGGUCGAGACCCUAGCAAAGGAAAAAGAAGCAGCCAUUAUUAAAAAAAAAUGGGCUACUAAUGUUUUUUUUUAGGAAAUUUUUGUUUAAAUAACAUUACAAUACGACGCUGUUUUGAACUAGGGUUCCUAAUAUCAAAACAACGCCGUUUAGUGGCCAUGAUCCGCGCGGUGACCCAACUCAGGGAAAGAUCUGCGAGUUUCUGUCAUUUGGGUUAUUUGUGCAUACGACCCCUCCUCCUUUCAGACACAUUUCGAUUUGUUUUUUUUUUGUUGUUUUUUUUCCUUUUAAAUUUAAUCGUGCAUUUGAUUUUUGAUUCAAUUUAGUCCGUGCCAAAGUGCUGCGUUUUGUGGGGAGGGAAUAUUCCCUACUUGGCCCUCAUGUAAUCCGCAUAUUGCGUUUUGAUCCUUCUUUUUUGUUUUUAAUUUCAUUUGUUUCUUGGUAAUUCUGUUUUAGUUACAAUUUAAUAUUUUUUUGUUAUUUGUGUUUUUUUCAUUAAUUGUUUAAUAUUGUUA